This 497-nucleotide ribosomal RNA is filed under the name uncultured bacterium. Its description in RNAcentral is "partial 16S ribosomal RNA". It matches the Rfam family "Bacterial small subunit ribosomal RNA", at positions 28 to 507 of the family's 1533-position model. The record is from RNAcentral.
GACGAACGCUGGCGGCGUGCCUAAUACAUGCAAGUAGAACGCUGAAGAGAGGAGCUUGCUCUUCUUGGAUGAGUUGCGAACGGGUGAGUAACGCGUAGGUAACCUGCCUGGUAGCGGGGGAUAACUAUUGGAAACGAUAGCUAAUACCGCAUAACAACAGUUGUUGCAUGACAGCUGUUUAAAAGAUGCAAUUGCAUCACUACCAGAUGGACCUGCGUUGUAUUAGCUAGUUGGUGAGGUAACGGCUCACCAAGGCGACGAUUCAUAGCCGACCUGGGAGGGGGAUCGGCCCCACCUGGACUUGGACACGGCCCCGACUCCCACGGGAGGCAGCAGUAAGGAAUCUUUGGCAAUUGGGGGAACCCUGACCGAGCAACGCCGCGUGAGUGAAGAAGGUUUUCGGAUCGUAAAGCUCUGUUGUAAGAGAAGAACGGGUGUGAGAGUGGAAAGUUCACACUGUGACGGUAUCUUACCAGAAAGGGACGGCUAACUACGUG